AGAACGAACGCUGGCGGCAUGCCUAACACAUGCAAGUCGAACGAGACCUUCGGGUCUAGUGGCGCACGGGUGCGUAACGCGUGGGAAUCUGCCCUUGGGUUCGGAAUAACAGUUAGAAAUGACUGCUAAUACCGGAUGAUGUCUUCGGACCAAAGAUUUAUCGCCCAGGGAUGAGCCCGCGUAGGAUUAGCUUGUUGGUGAGGUAAAGGCUCACCAAGGCGACGAUCCUUAGCUGGUCUGAGAGGAUGAUCAGCCACACUGGGACUGAGACACGGCCCAGACUCCUACGGGAGGCAGCAGUGGGGAAUAUUGGACAAUGGGCGAAAGCCUGAUCCAGCAAUGCCGCGUGAGUGAUGAAGGCCCUAGGGUUGUAAAGCUCUUUUACCCGGGAUGAUAAUGACAGUACCGGAGAAUAAGCCCCGCUAACUCCGUGCCACAGCCGC
Molecule: ribosomal RNA, 443 nt
Filed under: uncultured soil bacterium
Lineage: Bacteria
Description: bacterial SSU rRNA
Rfam family: Bacterial small subunit ribosomal RNA
Source: RNAcentral